UUGCCUACGGGGGGCAGCAGUGGGGAAUAUUGGGCAAUGGGCGCAAGCCUGACCCAGCAACGCCGCGUGAAGGAAGAAGGCUUUCGGGUUGUAAACUUCUUUUCUCAGGGACGAAGCAAGGGACGGUACCUGAGGAAUAAGCCACGGCUAACUACGUGCCAGCAGCCGCGGUAAUACGUAGGUGGCAAGCGUUAUCCGGAAUUACUGGGCGUAAAGGGCGCGUAGGUGGGCGCUUAAGUCAGGUGUGAAAACUCCGGGCUCAACCUGGAGACUGCACUUGAAACUGGGUGUCUUGAGGGCAGGAG
Molecule: ribosomal RNA, 305 nt
Filed under: uncultured bacterium
Lineage: Bacteria
Description: bacterial SSU rRNA
Rfam family: Bacterial small subunit ribosomal RNA
Source: RNAcentral